Molecule: long non-coding RNA, 1541 nt
Organism: Lagenorhynchus albirostris (white-beaked dolphin)
Lineage: Eukaryota; Metazoa; Chordata; Mammalia; Artiodactyla; Delphinidae
Exons: 3
Source: RefSeq, a predicted model, not a curated record
GGAAGGUGUUGCUCGAGGCCGGACUCGAGGAGGCUAGACGGGUGAGCAAAGGCCGCUAGAGCCCAGGGUUCCAAGAGGUCUGGGGCGGCGGCAGGCCCCUUGCAGUUACCCUGGUGUUGAGGAGGGUCGGUCGCUGCCUCGCCCAGCCUGCUGCUGAACCCGCUGAUGCCCAGGCCACCCGCCUGCAUCUUGAUCGCCGACUUGAGCUCGUGAUUCUCCCGAAGGAGCCGCACCAGCUUCUUCAGUUCCUCAUUUUCCUGCACCAGCCUCUCGAUCUGAUGGCGAAGCCCCUCGUAAUUGGUGAGACUGUGCGACUCGCCAGCAUCCAGCAAAGGGCCGAGUGCCGUGCAGGUAGGUAACCAGUGAACAUCUGCUGAAUGAAGACUCAUCACCUGCCUUCCUGGAGAGGGUGCCCUUCCCUUGGGAUCUUGGGCGCACCUGGAUUUAGCUGUCAGCCUUCUCCUGGGGACUAACAUCUUGGACAGCGGGACACUGGGCUAUGCUUUCUUCUGAUGCCAGGUGCUGAGAGCCUUUCCCUGGCUGCUGGCCCAGGGGCUCCCUCGUCUAAGCAGUCGGCUCCCUAUAGCUUGGAGUUUCCAUUUCUGAUGACUCAGGUUCCCCUAUUCCAAAUUCCCCAGCGGUGCCCCCUCUGUGCCCACUAUUCUCUGGCUUCUUGAAUUUUCCUGACUAUAGUCCUUCAAGAACCCAAGACUGCAUUCCCCAGCAGGUUCCAAGAACUCACAUCUCUGAGUCCUUAUCGCACUCCCCCCUUUUAGAGCCGUCUACACAGAGAAAUUUGCAGGCCUGACCUUGGGAGUUGAGUGAGGCCACGUCCUUGUGACCUCCACUGGCUCUGCGGGCAUCUGCUCUUGAACAGGAGAGGGUGGUGACGUCCUGGUAUAAGACAGAGGGCACACUCUUGGCAGGAGGGUGGGGGUGAGGAUGGAGUCGAAGAUCAGCCAGGGCUGGGGCCAGUCUGAGUGGAGCGUUCUACCUGGACCUCACAAUGGGGGGCCUGCCCUCACCUUCCUCUGACGCCCCAGACUGUAAUCCUGGCUGAAUCACUCUGGCCCUGGGGACCAGGGCUGAGAUUUCUUCAGUGGAAGAGAUCCCCUCUGCACACCCUCAGCUCUUCACAGAAUGUCUCUGCUGGGUUUUCCUCCAGCAUGUGAAAAUAAGCCUGUCACGGCUCUCUCAAUCGUCUUACCGCGCUGUUGGCCUCUCCUUGGGUUGCUGCCCUCCUUGCCAUCUGUGAUGGUUACAUUUUCUGUGUCAGCUUGGCUGGGCUAUGGUGCUGCCCAGGUAUUUGGUCAAACACUAGCCUAGUCAUUGCUCUGAAGGUUGACUUUAAGUAAAGCAGAUUAUUCUCAGUCACGUGGGUGGUCUUUAUACAAUCAUUUGAAAGCCUUAAGAAUAGAAAACUGACGUUUUCCGGGGAAGAAGGAAUUGUGCCUCAACGCUGUCCUAGAAAUUCUGCCUGAGUUUCUGGUCUCCUGGUCUGCUCCACAGACUUCGGACGUGCUAUUUCCCACGAUUGUGUG